GAUGAAGAACGUAGCGAAAUGCGAUAAGUAAUGUGAAUUGCAGAAUUCAGUGAAUCAUCGAAUCUUUGAACGCACCUUGCACUCCUUGGUAUUCCGAGGAGUACGCCUGUUCGAGUGUUAUGAAGCUCUCAAAACGCAAUUGGCUUAAAACCUGAUUGUUGUUUUGGAUUUGAACUUUGCCGUGUUAUAACGGCUGGUUUUAAAAGUAUUAGCUGGUACUAGAACGAAUUGGUUCUACUCAACGUGAUAAUUAUCUGAUCGUUGAGGACAUUCCUUUCACGAGGAAUGGCCAUAGUUAAUUCAAUGGACUGCUUCUAAUCUGGCUUUAAUUCUUUAUUGGAUUAACCACUUUUCAAAUCUGACCUCGAAUCAGGUGGGACUACCCGCUGAACUUAAGCAUAUCAAUAAGCGGAGGA
Molecule: unclassified non-coding RNA, 416 nt
Filed under: soil metagenome
Description: partial contains 5.8S ribosomal RNA, internal transcribed spacer 2, and large subunit ribosomal RNA
Rfam family: 5.8S ribosomal RNA (bases 1-120)
Source: RNAcentral